AUUGAACGCUGGCGGCAUGCUUUACACAUGCAAGUCGAACGGUAACAGGUCUUCGGAUGCUGACGAGUGGCGAACGGGUGAGUAAUGCAUCGGAACGUGCCCAGUCGUGGGGGAUAACGCAGCGAAAGCUGCGCUAAUACCGCACACGAUCUAUGGAUGAAAGCGGGGGACCGUAAGGCCUCGCGCGAUUGGAGCGGCCGAUGUCAGAUUAGGUAAUUGGUGGGGUAAAGGCCCACCAAGCCAACGAUCUGUAGCCGGUCUGAGAGGACGACCAGCCACACUGGGACUGAGACACGGCCCAGACUCCUACGGGAGGCAGCAGUGGGGAAUUUUGGACAAUGGGCGCAAGCCUGAUCCAGCAAUGCCGCGUGCAGGAAGAAGGCCUUCGGGUUGUAAACUGCUUUUGUACGGAACGAAACGGCUCUCUCUAAUACAGAGGGCUAAUGACGGUACCGUAAGAAUAAGCACCGGCUAACUACGUGCCAGCCGCCGCAGUAA
Molecule: ribosomal RNA, 498 nt
Filed under: uncultured bacterium
Lineage: Bacteria
Description: partial 16S ribosomal RNA
Rfam family: Bacterial small subunit ribosomal RNA
Source: RNAcentral